AAACCAUGCAUUGGGCAUUUUCUCAGUAGCUCCUUGAACUGCUCUCAUGCUUCAUAUAAUGUUUCAUCCUCUGAUUUUCUAAACGAUAUAAUAUUUUUCCUCAAGUU
RNAcentral lists this small nucleolar RNA (107 nucleotides) under Gossypium hirsutum (cotton). RNAcentral describes it as "Plant small nucleolar RNA R71". It matches the Rfam family "Plant small nucleolar RNA R71". Rfam says of the family: R71 is a member of the C/D box family of snoRNAs containing the C (UGAUGA) and D (CUGA) box motifs. Lineage: Eukaryota; Viridiplantae; Streptophyta; Magnoliopsida; Malvales; Malvaceae. The record is from Rfam by way of RNAcentral.